CGCUCAGAUGAACGCUGGCGGCAGGCCUAACACAUGCAAGUCGAACGGUAGCACAGAGAGCUUGCUCUCGGGUGACGAGUGGCGGACGGGUGAGUAAUGUCUGGGAAACUGCCUGAUGGAGGGGGAUAACUACUGGAAACGGUAGCUAAUACCGCAUAACGUCGCAAGACCAAAGAGGGGGACCUUCGGGCCUCUUGCCAUCAGAUGUGCCCAGAUGGGAUUAGCUAGUAGGUGGGGUAACGGCUCACCUAGGCGACGAUCCCUAGCUGGUCUGAGAGGAUGACCAGCCACACUGGAACUGAGACACGGUCCAGACUCCUACGGGAGGCAGCAGUGGGGAAUAUUGCACAAUGGGCGCAAGCCUGAUGCAGCCAUGCCGCGUGUAUGAAGAAGGCCUUCGGGUUGUAAAGUACUUUCAGCGGGGAGGAAGGUGUUGUGGUUAAUAACCGCAGCAAUUGACGUUACCCGCAGAAGAAGCACCGGCUAACUCCGUGCCAGCAGCCGCGGUAAUACGGAGGGUGCAAGCGUUAAUCGGAAUUACUGGGCGUAAAGCGCACGCAGGCGGUCUGUCAAGUCGGAUGUGAAAUCCCCGGGCUCAACCUGGGAACUGCAUUCGAAACUGGCAGGCUAGAGUCUUGUAGAGGGGGGUAGAAUUCCAGGUGUAGCGGUGAAAUGCGUAGAGAUCUGGAGGAAUACCGGUGGCGAAGGCGGCCCCCUGGACAAAGACUGACGCUCAGGUGCGAAAGCGUGGGGAGCAAACAGGAUUAGAUACCCUGGUAGUCCACGCCGUAAACGAUGUCGAUUUGGAGGUUGUGCCCUUGAGGCGUGGCUUCCGGAGCUAACGCGUUAAAUCGACCGCCUGGGGAGUACGGCCGCAAGGUUAAAACUCAAAUGAAUUGACGGGGGCCCGCACAAGCGGUGGAGCAUGUGGUUUAAUUCGAUGCAACGCGAAGAACCUUACCUGGUCUUGACAUCCACAGAACUUUCCAGAGAUGGAUUGGUGCCUUCGGGAACUGUGAGACAGGUGCUGCAUGGCUGUCGUCAGCUCGUGUUGUGAAAUGUUGGGUUAAGUCCCGCAACGAGCGCAACCCUUAUCCUUUGUUGCCAGCGGUCCGGCCGGGAACUCAAAGGAGACUGCCAGUGAUAAACUGGAGGAAGGUGGGGAUGACGUCAAGUCAUCAUGGCCCUUACGACCAGGGCUACACACGUGCUACAAUGGCGCAUACAAAGAGAAGCGACCUCGCGAGAGCAAGCGGACCUCAUAAAGUGCGUCGUAGUCCGGAUUGGAGUCUGCAACUCGACUCCAUGAAGUCGGAAUCGCUAGUAAUCGUAGAUCAGAAUGCUACGGUGAAUACGUUCCCGGGCCUUGUACACACCGCCCGUCACACCAUGGGAGUGGGUUGCAAAAGAAGUAGGUAGCUUAACCUUCGGGAGGGCGCUUACCACUUUGUGAUUCAUGACUGGGGUGAAGUCUAAAAGGGGGAACC
Molecule: ribosomal RNA, 1487 nt
Filed under: Pantoea agglomerans
Lineage: Bacteria; Pseudomonadati; Pseudomonadota; Gammaproteobacteria; Enterobacterales; Erwiniaceae
Description: bacterial SSU rRNA
Rfam family: Bacterial small subunit ribosomal RNA
Source: RNAcentral